RNAcentral lists this ribosomal RNA (659 nucleotides) under Escherichia coli. RNAcentral describes it as "partial 23S ribosomal RNA". It matches the Rfam family "Bacterial large subunit ribosomal RNA", at positions 2263 to 2916 of the family's 2925-position model. RNAcentral also lists the same sequence under 5 other names. Lineage: Bacteria; Pseudomonadati; Pseudomonadota; Gammaproteobacteria; Enterobacterales; Enterobacteriaceae. The record is from RNAcentral.
GGGUAGUUUGACUGGGGCGGUCUCCUCCUAAAGAGUAACGGAGGAGCACGAAGGUUGGCUAAUCCUGGUCGGACAUCAGGAGGUUAGUGCAAUGGCAUAAGCCAGCUUGACUGCGAGCGUGACGGCGCGAGCAGGUGCGAAAGCAGGUCAUAGUGAUCCGGUGGUUCUGAAUGGAAGGGCCAUCGCUCAACGGAUAAAAGGUACUCCGGGGAUAACAGGCUGAUACCGCCCAAGAGUUCAUAUCGACGGCGGUGUUUGGCACCUCGAUGUCGGCUCAUCACAUCCUGGGGCUGAAGUAGGUCCCAAGGGUAUGGCUGUUCGCCAUUUAAAGUGGUACGCGAGCUGGGUUUAGAACGUCGUGAGACAGUUCGGUCCCUAUCUGCCGUGGGCGCUGGAGAACUGAGGGGGGCUGCUCCUAGUACGAGAGGACCGGAGUGGACGCAUCACUGGUGUUCGGGUUGUCAUGCCAAUGGCACUGCCCGGUAGCUAAAUGCGGAAGAGAUAAGUGCUGAAAGCAUCUAAGCACGAAACUUGCCCCGAGAUGAGUUCUCCCUGACUCCUUGAGAGUCCUGAAGGAACGUUGAAGACGACGACGUUGAUAGGCCGGGUGUGUAAGCGCAGCGAUGCGUUGAGCUAACCGGUACUAAUGAACCGUGAGG